AAAAACCAAAAUGGCGCGUGAAAGAAGUCCGAUUUUGUCAUGCUAAAUAAGUUCAGCAUUCAGUUCAAAAUAUGGAGUGUAAUGCAUCAUGACAAACCCGAAACCACAAACAAAAUAGUCAAACAAUGCUGUUGGUUCGCAACUUUCAGCAUCUGGAAAAUCGUUCCGUGAAAAAAUCGUGCGCUGGCAAGUAAUAUCGGUGCUGAAAUCGUCAUUUAAAUACGCUGGCGGAGACCCUGUCGAGACCAAAUCACCAGAAAAGGCACGUAUAUAAAAAUUCCCGGCAGUAUCGCCAGCUGCCCUCCUUAAGCUUGCUGUAUUAUUAUCCGCGCCAGAUUUCUGCCAUCAUAUCAUCAUACCUGUGUUCGUUUUCAUCAGCAAACUCCUGCCUCGGUUUUAAUUUAAACAUCAACUCCGGAGCCCGGACUGUUACUGGUUAUGACGAUGCUGGAGUGCAAUUCGAACCGCUUUCAACUACCUGAAAGGAGCUACAUAUGUGUACUGCUGGAGCUUUCAGUAACCGUAUUUCCGGCGGUGUUCCGUUGCAGAGUAACCAGCUGACUAUGGAUGCGAUCAGUAGUAGUGAGAAAAAUUACUUGCUACCAAGCUUGCUACCCAUUUUCCAUCUCAUCGAGGUGUCGCACCCCACCAGAUCUUCCAGCACAUCUGGGCUGCGAUGAUUUUGUCGCUGAAUGGAUAGACUAAACGCUGCGAGCCUCUUGAAGAUGCUGGAGAUGAUUUUCACCAUCAGGUGCAUGAAACGCAAGUUAUUUAUGAGCUGAUCAUCGAAUUCAUAUGGAGUUUGGAGUGCAUCGACUGAUAUCUGCUGUCAGUAUCAAAUAAUCGCUCACGAGGACCUAACUUGCUGGAAGCACUCGACAAAAUUCACUUAUAGGUCAUUGCGCGCGGCAAACCUAACUUCACUAUUUUGACAGGUACUGGUCCUGUUGUUUACGUUUCGGACUUAGAAUUUUUUAUCCAAAUUAAAUCUGCAUAUUGCACGAUGUUGAAGACAUUCCAUUCUGUACAUUCCGCAUUCAAAUAUUGGUAAUUAUCGAUAAGUUUAGGUAAUUAUCGAUCAGAAAAUCCAAAGAAUCAUAGAAGAAUCUCAAAAUUAAAAUAAAGUCGUCUGUAAACAACAGGACCAGUACCUGUCAAAAGUCGUGCGUGACGUCACUGUGCAAUGGAGUAUUGCUUUAUGGUAGCUUCGAGGCUGAAACCGAAACCGCUGGAAAUUUCACACUGCUCGAAUGUAGGGUUUUGUCCACCAAGGAUAGGAAACAGAUUUCAACCGAUUCCACUGAAGAGAAAUGUGGGCUACUCACAAUAAAGUAGCGGUGGCUGUUGAAGUUCGUCGUAUGGAAGUAGUAGCAGCACACAAUUCACAUGUGGAAUUGCGAAAAAAACCGACAAAAGCUGCCAACUAAUGUACAUUUUUUCUUUGUCUUGAAAAUAAAAGUUGAAGUUGAAGAAAUUUCAA
This is a long non-coding RNA of Armigeres subalbatus, 1480 nucleotides long. RefSeq lists it as uncharacterized. NCBI's taxonomy places the organism in Eukaryota, Metazoa, Arthropoda, Insecta, Diptera, Culicidae. The transcript is spliced from 4 exons. The record is from RefSeq and is a predicted model, not a curated record.